Molecule: long non-coding RNA, 562 nt
Organism: Mytilus californianus (California mussel)
Lineage: Eukaryota; Metazoa; Mollusca; Bivalvia; Mytilida; Mytilidae
Exons: 4
Source: RefSeq, a predicted model, not a curated record
GAAGUAUUAAGGUGAAAGACGUAUUUAAUAAAUUCAGAUUUUCUUUUCCAGAUAUCCAAGACAUUUUAAAUAUUGAUCAGCACAAAAAUUAGGCUCCUACAUGUACAGGAUUUAACAUAGAAAUGGGAGAAAUAAGCACUUAAACAUCACGGCGUAUUUCUAUACUACAGUUAUAAGAUGAACUAGAUGCUAAUUGUGUGGUCCAUAUGCUUUGAUAACACGAAGUCCUGUCAGAUACCCCGUCAAAGUCACAUUUGAAUUAAAGUUCGACCCAUGUCAAAAAGGUAGAUUUGAUAGUUUGGGAGAUAAUCGUCUUUCAAAACAAAAGGUGGAUACGUAUCUCCUUAACUGGUUGUUAUUUUGACAUCAUUAAACUAUUUUGUUAAUUUUAAUGGGAUACAUCAAACGUUACAAAUGUUUUAUUAGAUUAGUUUACUGAUCACGUGGUAUGGUUAUGUCUUAUAUUUCACAGAACAAAUUAAACAAUAAAUAACAGGUGUAAUUUAAGGAUAAAACUUUACUCCUUAGUACAAUAUCAAUGCGAUUUAAAAUAAAUGACUGU